RNAcentral lists this ribosomal RNA (163 nucleotides) under Plasmodium chabaudi adami. It matches the Rfam family "Eukaryotic small subunit ribosomal RNA", at positions 1663 to 1831 of the family's 1831-position model. The record is from RNAcentral. Lineage: Eukaryota; Apicomplexa; Aconoidasida; Haemosporida; Plasmodiidae.
UACACACCGCCCGUCGCUCCUACCGAUUGAAAGAUAUGAUGAAUUGUUCGGACAAUUAAAUAAGUACAAUUUUAUUUUUUUGGAAGGGCCGUAAAUCCUAUCUUUUAAAGGAAGGAGAAGUCGUAACAAGGUUUCCGUAGGUGAACCUGCGGAAGGAUCAUUU